AGCGAACGCUGGCGGCAGGCCUAACACAUGCAAGUCGAGCGCCCCGCAAGGGGAGCGGCAGACGGGAGAGUAACACGUGGGAACGUGCCCUUUGGUUCGGAACAACCCAGGGAAACUUGGGCUAAUACCGGAUAAGCCCUCACGGGGAAAGAUUUAUCGCCGAAGGAUCGGCCCGCGUCUGAUUAGCUAGUUGGUGGGGUAAUGGCCCACCAAGGCGACGAUCAGUAGCUGGUCUGAGAGGAUGAUCAGCCUCACUGGGACUGAGACACGGCCCAGACUCCUACGGGAGGCAGCAGUGGGGAAUAUUGGACAAUGGGCGCAAGCCUGAUCCAGCCAUGCCGCGUGGGUGAUGAAGGCCCUAGGGUUGUAAAGCCCUUUCGGCGGGGAAGAUAAUGACGGUACCCGCAGAAGAAGCCCCGGCUAACUUCGUGCCAGCCGCCGCAGAA
This 446-nucleotide ribosomal RNA is filed under the name uncultured bacterium. Its description in RNAcentral is "partial 16S ribosomal RNA". It matches the Rfam family "Bacterial small subunit ribosomal RNA", at positions 29 to 522 of the family's 1533-position model. The record is from RNAcentral.